AGCCCCACUUUAGAGGUUUAAUUUCCCUUUUAUAACUCUCUUUGAAUAAUUCUGGUAAUUAUAAGAACAUACCGUGAAAUUUUCAACGAAAUCAGUCAGGUAGUUUUUGAAUCAUAAAACCAUAAACCCACAUGCAUUACCUUUUAUAUUACAUUAAUGUAUGUAGUGGAUAGAUAUAUUAUAUUUAUACAAUUAUCUUUAUUCUACUAUAUUUAAAAACUUUUAUGGUUUUUCCCUCAAGACCAAAUGAGCUCAAACUCUGGAAAUACAUUUGUCUAAUAGUCGGACCAAAUUGAUAAAAGUCAAGUUGCAAUUCGAUACAUGAAUUUCAUAUCGUAUUUUCCAGAAAAGAUUUUCAUUUGAAAGUUUGUCGUUUUAAAUCUAUUUCUAAAAACCAUCAUAAUAUAAAAUCGGCGAAUUGAAAUUUCAUGAAAGCGGUCGUGACAAAAGACAUUUAGUAAAACGUUUUCAGUUUAUCGAUAGAAAGCUGCAGCAAAUGCUGCAAGUUUAAAGUUCUCUUAAUUGUAUUGUCGAAUAGUAAUAAAAUAAAAAUUUAACCGUAGUUACUGGGGAUAGGAGCGGUCACUGUUGUAAGUGAGAAGUAGGGAAGGUAGGACACAUGAGGUUAUUUCAUUUAUAUAUGUAAGCAACGAUAAACCAUUGCUUGACAAAAGACGAUUCCGAGCGCAGUU
Non-coding RNA from Cinara cedri, 692 nucleotides. The record is from the annotation of a GenBank genome assembly. NCBI's taxonomy places the organism in Eukaryota, Metazoa, Arthropoda, Insecta, Hemiptera, Aphididae.